ACUUGCGGUAGGUUGGGGCAGGAGACCCUAUUCCAAAGGAGGGCGGGCUUAAGCACUGCUGAGACGCCAACGUGCACACUGGACCGUGUCGCUUUCAGAAAAGCCACUGGCAGAAGAUUCGGACCAUGGUGAAUCUGCCCGUCAUGAGCCCUUUCAAGAGGCGCUAUGCCUGGGUGCAGCUGGCUGGGCACACGGGUGAGCACAGGGCAGGCGCUGGUGAGGUGGGUGGGUGUCUGGAGUAGGAAGGGACCAGGCAGCGCUAACUGGUGCCAGUCUGCAGGGAGUUUCAAGGCGGCUGGCACCAGCGGGCUGAUCCUGAAGCGCAGCUCAGAGCCGGAGCGCUACUGCCUGGCGCGGC
Molecule: long non-coding RNA, 358 nt
Filed under: Lynx pardinus (Iberian lynx)
Lineage: Eukaryota; Metazoa; Chordata; Mammalia; Carnivora; Felidae
Source: RNAcentral